AGUAAAAACGUCCAAUGGCAUGUUUUCAUGGAUGCCAAGGGAAGCCAGGCCUCCCCAAAAAUCUAACUGAAAACUGUCUGAGAUUGUAGCUCACCAUAACAGCACUGUUGCAGACUACAGGGAACAUUGUCAGUUUCAAUUAUCUGAUAUCUAUUUAUCCAGAAAUGUAUUCAAUACCUUCACUGUAGGAACAUCCGCUUUAUUGGAAUCGCACACUUAAAUUAGUAAUAAUCAAAAAUACUUAACCUAGUCAGCCAAAAAACAGAAAACACUGGAAAACAAUAUUGGCAUGUCAAUCACAUUGUAUGGGUAUGAGCUGGAAAGUUUGCACAGUGAUUCCUUCAUUCAAAUGGAAAGUUAACUCAGCAUUAGAAUAUAACUUCUUCUUUUUUUAAAAGUGAUUAGGGAGUUCAGGUAUAUACAUCAUACACAUACAGUAUGUUUCAUAUUGAAGUAUGGGAUUCAGAUUUGAGUGGAAAGUGUCAUUCAAUUCAAAUUGUGACCUAGUUUCUUCAUACACUAAAACAUUUACAAAAAGGGAAUUAUGUGAAUACAUACAACUGACCAGGUUAGAGUGAAGAUAAACGUUCAAAUAAGUUUUAUCUACAAAAUAAGUAUGGUUACUGUUAAAAAAUAAUUAAUUUGUGCUGUGGUCAGUGUUCUGUCGUGGAAAUUCAGUACUGAGAGAGACUUGGUCAUUUCUUCAAACAAUCAUCUUUAUGUAAUAUCAAUUAAUUAUUGCAAUAAUGAAACCGUCGGCUGAGAGCCUAACUGAUAAGGAAUAAAGAGAUAUUAUAUAGGCCCUAAAAAUGCUUAGUCAGUCAUUUCUAACCUUCCCAUAAGCCCCCUUGGUUGAUGUCCUGGUUAUCUGCAUGGGAUGUUGUUUUACUUCCAUCCAGCUUAGUUUCCCAGAUGCCAGGAAGAUGAGAAAAUGAGGCAUUGUUCUAAACUCUUCCAGGUUAUCUCUAUCUCGGGUCACACACACCACAUCUUGGAAAACAAUAUUGGCAUGUCAAUCACAUUGUAUGGGUAUGAGCUGGAACGUUUACACAGUGAUUCCUUCAUUCGAAUGGAAUGUUAACUCAGCAUUAGAAUACAAUAAAAGGAACACACCACAUCUUGUCUAUGAAGUGCCAACUUUAGGUUUUUAUCAGCAAGCCAUUGUCAGCUCAAGCAAAACCCAUUUUCCUUGACCAUACGCCCAGACUAACUGCAGGAAGCUAGAGUGGAAACCAUCUCUUCAACAGUUGCCAGCCCAUGCUUCAAAAGACUCCUCUCAGUUAACUCAGAAAGAGAGUCCUAAGAACCUUACUCUAUUUCAUAAAACAACAAUUUGGUGUAUAAACAUAACAUAAUCUUGUAAUUAUGCUAUCACAGUUCAUAAAAGUACUGUUCUGUUUUCUCUUUUGAUAACUUGGUCAUUGGGAUCUGUGCGCAUCACUGAAAGUUUAUGGGCUCUAUUAAAUCCGUAUCACGGAAGUUCAGCGUUACGGCGUGAUUGAAAUUGAAAGGCAACAUUCCUGCGUUAGUGGAGACUGUAUUCACGCGUCGGAAAUUACCUUUACAUUUCUAUUACGCUUCAGCACUACAGGUUGAACAGAGCCCUGGAUGUAUGGGCAGCAGCAUCCUCAGCACCCCUACUUCCUGUGGCUAUGUCCAGCUCACAACUGGCAAACUCGGACUUAGAGUAUCCUGGGAUGGUGGCACCGGGCACCCACUCUUUUGUGUAAGGAUUGAGUUUCUCAGUGAAGGACAGUCUGGAGAAGCCGUUUCUGUCACAGCCUCCGAUCACCACGAUCACCUCCG
Oncorhynchus keta (chum salmon) is the source of this 1806-nucleotide long non-coding RNA. RefSeq lists it as uncharacterized. Lineage: Eukaryota; Metazoa; Chordata; Actinopteri; Salmoniformes; Salmonidae. The transcript is spliced from 3 exons. The record is from RefSeq and is a predicted model, not a curated record.